CACUAGAUGGCAGGGAAGUGGCUGUGGUGCUGCGAUAGCAGAAGUUACCAGAAAUCUACCUUGUACGGUACUGGGGAAAGUCAUUUGUGGGGAGGUGUCUCAGAAGAGGCACUCUACUACAAACCACCUGAGGGGGUGCCAAGAGAAGUUUCUGGCUGUUAGCUACCAUAAACUGAAAAGGCCACGUGCUGAAGAAGCCCUGUACUUUGCUUGAGCCAAACACUGGAGAAGCCGCGCACAGCACAAAAGCCUGACUAACUGAAACACCAACAGGAAACAAAACCUUUUCCUCCUGCAAUAUCUCUCUGGUGCCCUCUACUGACACAUCUUAAUAUCUGCCAGCUGAUAAAGGAUCUAUUUAAAAGGGUGCAAAUCAUUUCACAGAGCAGGCAAAAAGGAUAAAUUUGGAACUGAAUGGCAUACUAGGGAAUCUUCUCAUUAUUUUCAAAGCUUAUAAAAAAGGUAAGUAAGCAAACAUCUAUCCUGCCUUUUCUAUACAAACGGUACUUCAUACAACAUACCAAAACUUACGACAUACUUGCAUUAAAAAAGAAGUGCCGGGACUCCCCGGCGCCGGAAUUUCCGGCUGGCGCCACCACUUUGGCUUCCCGACCUUGGGCUACUACUGCUGGUCACUGUCUGCAGCCUCUCCGUGCGGUCAUGUCUGUGCCUAUACCGCAGCUGCUGAGGGGCCUCACAGGCUUCACCCCGUGGCUCCCGGUGCAGCAUGCCCAGAUCCAUUCCAAGCCACCGCCAGAGGGGCUCGGGACCAUGGAUGACUCCAUUGGGCUCACCUCCUGCUUCCUGUUUCCUCCUGCCAUCAGGCUGGGUCCUGUCACAUCUGGAGUGCUACAAGAAACGGGAGUGAAGGGGGCUGUCCUGUCCCUCACCCUGUGACCUGACCACCCCUGGCCUCUCCUGAUCAUGUCUGCUGCAUUCCUGAAUGGCCUUCCCAGGAUCGUGUCCUUCAAUUACCUCUUCUGCAAUCAUGACCUCUCGAUUUCUCCUUGGUGACAUCCUCAGACCACAUAUAUUGGUGUAUAAGGCCCUACUCGGUAAGGCCCUCCUUAUAAAAAUAAAGUCUAUUUAAAUCUUUAAAAAAAAAAAAAAGUCCAGAGGUGCCUGGGUGGCUCAGUCGCUUAAGCGUCCAGCUCUUGAUUUCAGCUCAGGUCAUGAUCUCAGGGUUGUGAGACUGAGCUGGGCAUCCGGUUCCACUCUCAGCAGGAAGUCUGCUUAAGAUUCCCUCUCCCUCUCCCUCUGCAUCCCCCCUCCAUAAUAAAUAAAUAGGUCUUUAAAAAAAUAAAAAUAAAAAUAAAUAAAAAGUCCAGACACUGUAAUAUUCGCUAAGAAGAAAUGAGCUGUCAAGCCAUGAAUAACACAUGGAGGAAACAUAAAUGCAUAUUACUAAAUGAAAGAAACCAAUCUGAAAAGGCUAUAUUAUAUAUGAUUCCAACUAUAUGACAUUCUGGAAAAGGCAAAACUAUGGUUAUGGUAAAAAGAUCAGUGGUUGCCAGGGCUCAGGGGGAAGGAAAGGAUGAAUGGGCAGAGCACAGAGGACUUUUAGGGCAGUGAAACUAUUCUUUAUGAUACAAUGAUGGUUACAUUAUCUAAAUCCAUAGAAAGUACACCAAAAGUAAACUCUAUGUAAACUAUGGACUUUGGGUGAUAAUAAGGUGUCAGUGUAGGCUCAUGGAUUGUAACAAAUGUACCACUGUGGUGUGGGAUGUCUAUAAUGGGGGAGGUUGUGCAUGUGUGGGGACAGGGCAUACAUGAGAAUUCUUCGUACUUUCUGCUCAAAUCUGUUGUGAUUCAAAACUGCUCUGAAAAAUAAAGUUUAUUAAUUAAAAAAAAGAUCUCAAAUCAACAGCUUAACCUUCUACCUUAAGAAACUAGAAAAAGAGCAAACUAAACUAAAACAAGUAGAAGGAAGGAAACAAUAAAGGUUAGAACAGAAAUAAAAAUAGAAAACAACAAAACAAAGUAGUUCACUAAAUAAAAAGAACAAAAUUGACUAACUUUUAGCUAGACUGACAAGAAAAAAAAAGAAAAACUCAAAUUAUUAAAAUUAGGAAUCAAAGAGGGGACAUUAUUAUUGACCUUAAAGAAAUAAGAAUUAUAAGGGAAUCCUAUGGACAACUUUAUGCUAACAAAUUAGAUCACCUAGAUGACAUGGACAAAUUCCUAGAAACACACAAACUACCAAAACGGACUCAAGAAAAAUAGAAAAAUCUGAAUAGACUUAUAGCAAGUAAAGAGAUUUAAUUAAUAAUAAAAAAGCUUCCCACAAAGCCCAGGCCCAGAUGGCUUCACUGGUAAAUUCUACCAUAUAUUCAAAGAAUUGACACCAAUCCUUCACAAACUCACCCUAAAAAUAGAAGAGGAGGGAAUAUGUCCCAACUCAUUCUCUGGAUGAAAACUGCCUUAGGGCAAUCACUGCCUAGCUCUCCAUUUGUAGAAAUUGAUGGCAACAGCCCAGACUGCUUGUCCAUGAGAAUGGAGUCAAACUGAUCAGGCAUCCUAGGGCAGUGGUUCUUAAUUCUGGCUACAUAUAAACUACCUGGGGAGCUUUUAAAAAUCCAAGUGCUCACACCAUAUUCAGAUCUAUUAUAUUAGAAUCUAUGGGGGGUAGGAAAAUAUAAAAGGAAAGCUAUGGGAGAUGAAUAGAGGUUGAAGUGCCAAGCUUUUACUCUCUUACUGGAUCUGAUCUCCUCCACCCUUGCUAAACUGCUGGAGCUGACAGAUUACAACUCAAGGAGACCACCUGCACUCAACUCUGCUUCAGAGAUGCUGACUGGUGGCAGCUAUAGGAGUGAUCAUCAAAGACUAUGCUGUGCCUGGGACUGACUCUAUCACAGGACUCAUCUUCUCCACUUUCCUUAAAUUCACUAAGAUUGACAUAGACCAAGGCCUGGCCUUUGGUCUUUUCUGAGUACAGCAAGAAUUAGCAGAAUGAUAAAGGUGUUAAGGAAUCUCCAGGGAAAGGUAUGGUCAGAAGCAGGGAAUCAUGACUUUAUGGUGGAAAUGGGGGAACUGGAAGCAAUCAUUGCAGCCUAACAAUGAAAAGUGGGAUAUAGCACAGAGAGAGGCUGCAGAGAAAUUUUGGGGACUUUUAUUGGCAAGUGACAAGAACCCAAUUUCAACUAGUUUAAGCAGAAAAGGGGGUUUGCUGGCAGAAUUCUCAGAGAGUUCACAGAAUUAAAGGAAGAGUUGCAGAGACUUGGAGCACUCUGGGGGUCUCAAAGAUCAGAAGUCAGGCCUCAGUGCCAUGAGGAUUCUUUCAUUCGGCCUCUCGUCUUGUUUCCUCUCUGGCCUCAACAUCUCAAGCUUCUCAUACUGACAAAGACUUUGGGAGAGUAGGGGAAGAAAGUAUUUCCCCUAAGUUUCCAUUUAGAAAAUUCAAAGGAAGAACUUCCAACAGGCACAGCCUGGUCACAAGCCCACUCUCAUAGCUUGGAAGAAUAAGGGUAGGGCUACUCUAAUUGGUAUUUUUGCAAUAAUCAUAUGGUUAUAUUGGGGGAGGCAGUUCUGUAAAAGAAAGAAAAUGUUGGGGCGCCUGGGUGGCUCAGAUGGUUAAGCGUCUGCCUUCGGCUCAGGUCAUGAUCCCAGGGUCCUGGGAUCGAGUCCCGCAUCGGGCUCUCUGCUCCUUGGGAGCCUGCUUCUCCCUCUGCCUCUCUCUCUCUCUGUCUCUCAUGAAUAAAUAAAUAAAAAUCUUAAAAAAAAAAAAAAAGAAAGAAAGAAAAUGUUGGGGCACCUGGCUGGCUCACUGAAAAGAGCAUGUAACUUUUGAUCUCAGGGUCAUGAGUUUGAGCCCCCCACUGGGGGCAGAGACUCCUUAAAUGAAUAAAUAAAAACUUAAAAAGAAAAUUUCUCCAUCUUAAAAAAAAAAAAAGAAGUGAAGUUUUUUUUUUUUUAAGAUUUAUUCAUGAGACAGAGAGAAUGAAUGGGGGGGGUGGCAGAGGGAGAGAACAUCCAAGUAGACUCCCACUGAGCAUGGAGCCCGA
Molecule: RNA transcript, 4001 nt
Organism: Mirounga angustirostris (Northern elephant seal)
Lineage: Eukaryota; Metazoa; Chordata; Mammalia; Carnivora; Phocidae
Gene name: cytochrome c oxidase subunit 8A, mitochondrial-like
Exons: 1
Source: RefSeq, a predicted model, not a curated record